GUAGGUGGCAAGCGUUGUCCGGAACUAUUGGGCGUAAAGCGCGCGCAGGUGGUUCUUUAAGUCUGAUGUGAAAGCCCCCGGCUCAACCGGGGAGGGUCAUUGGAAACUGGGGAACUUGAGUGCAGGAGAGGAAAGUGGAAUCCCACGUGUAGCGGUGAAAUGCGUAGAUAUGUGGAGGAACACCAGUGGCGAAGGCGACUUUCUGGCCUGUAACUGACACUGAGGCGCGAAAGCGUGGGGAGCAAACAGGGAUUAGAUACCCUGGUAGUCCACGCCGUAAACGAUGAGUGCUAAGUGUUGGGGGGGUUUCCCGCCCCUCAGUGCUGCAGCUAACGCAUUAAGCACUCCGCCUGGGGAGUACGGCCGCAAGACUG
RNAcentral lists this ribosomal RNA (374 nucleotides) under uncultured organism. RNAcentral's name for it is "partial 16S ribosomal RNA". It matches the Rfam family "Bacterial small subunit ribosomal RNA", at positions 527 to 896 of the family's 1533-position model. The record is from RNAcentral.